ACAGCAGCCGCCGCGGGAAAACGGAGGGGGCUAGCGUUGUUCGGAAUUACUGGGCGUAAAGCACACGUAGGCGGCUUGGUAAGUUAGAGGUGAAAGCCCGGAGCUCAACUCCGGAAUUGCCUUUAAGACUGCCGAGCUAGUAGGUGAGAGAGGUAAGUGGAAUUCCGAGUGUAGAGGUGAAGUUCGUAGAUAUUCGGAAGAACACCAGUGGCGAAGGCGGCUUACUGGCUCAUUCUAGACGCUGAGGUGCGAAAGCGUGGGGAGCAAACAGGAUUAGAUACCCCUGUAGUCCAUGUCUCUUAUAC
RNAcentral lists this ribosomal RNA (305 nucleotides) under uncultured bacterium. RNAcentral describes it as "partial 16S ribosomal RNA". It matches the Rfam family "Bacterial small subunit ribosomal RNA", at positions 508 to 807 of the family's 1533-position model. The record is from RNAcentral.